RNAcentral lists this ribosomal RNA (164 nucleotides) under Gymnanthes cf. albicans HAJB 81718. RNAcentral's name for it is "5.8S ribosomal RNA". It matches the Rfam family "5.8S ribosomal RNA". From Rfam's summary of the family: 5.8S ribosomal RNA (5.8S rRNA) is a component of the large subunit of the eukaryotic ribosome. The record is from RNAcentral. Lineage: Eukaryota; Viridiplantae; Streptophyta; Magnoliopsida; Malpighiales; Euphorbiaceae.
AAAAUGACUCUCGGCAACGGAUAUCUCGGCUCUCGCAUCGAUGAAGAACGCAGCGAAAUGCGAUACUUGGUGUGAAUUGCAGGAUCCCGCGAACCAUCGAGUCUUUGAACGCAAGUUGCGCCCGAAGCCUUCUGGCCGAGGGCACGUCUGCCUGGGUGUCACGC